RNAcentral lists this small nuclear RNA (105 nucleotides) under Mus spicilegus (steppe mouse). The record is from RNAcentral. Lineage: Eukaryota; Metazoa; Chordata; Mammalia; Rodentia; Muridae.
AUGUAUAUGGUGGCCUGCACACUAAACUUGAGAUGGUACUAAGAAGAUUACCACAGCCCCCUGCACAAGAAUGACAUACAAAUUUGUGGACUUUUACCUAUUUUU